RNAcentral lists this ribosomal RNA (853 nucleotides) under uncultured Actinomycetes bacterium. Its description in RNAcentral is "bacterial SSU rRNA". It matches the Rfam family "Bacterial small subunit ribosomal RNA", at positions 58 to 887 of the family's 1533-position model. The record is from RNAcentral. Lineage: Bacteria; Bacillati; Actinomycetota; Actinomycetes.
CAAGUCGAACGCGAAAGCCUCCUUCGGGGGGCAAGUAGAGUGGCGCACGGGUGAGUAACACGUAGGUAAUCUACCUUUGGAUUGGGAAUAACCACCGGAAACGGUGGCUAAUACCGAAUAAUGCAGCGGCACCUAAUGGUGACAGUUGUUAAAGCGGGGGAUCGAAAGACCUCGCGUCUGAAGAGGAGCCUGCGGCAGAUUAGCUAGUUGGUAAGGUAACGGCUUACCAAGGCGAUGAUCUGUAGCCGGCCUGAGAGGGCGGUCGGCCACACUGACACUGACAUACGGGUCAGACUCCUACGGGAGGCAGCAGUCGGGAAUUUUGGGCAAUGGGCGAAAGCCUGACCCAGCAACGCCGCGUGAAGGAUGAAAUCCUUCGGGAUGUAAACUUCGCAAGAACGGGAAGAAUAAGUAAGAGUUAAUAUCUCUUACGAUGACGGUACUGUUUGUAAGCUCCGGCUAACUCCGUGCCAGCAGCCGCGGUAAUACGGGGGGAGCAAGCGUUGUUCGGAUUUACUGGGCGUAAAGGGCGCGUAGGCGGCACCGCAAGUCGACUGUGAAAUCUCCGGGCUUAACCCGGAAAGGUCAGCCGAUACUGCGGGGCUAGAGUGCAGAAGGGGCAACUGGAAUUCUCGGUGUAGCGGUGAAAUGCGUAGAUAUCGAGAGGAACACCUGCGGCGAAGGCGGGUUGCUGGGCUGACACUGACGCUGAUGCGCGAAAGCUAGGGGAGCGAACGGGAUUAGAUACCCCGGUAGUCCUAGCCUUAAACGAUGAAUGCUUGGUGUCUGGGGUUUUAUAGUCCCCGGGGUGCCGUCGCUAACGCUUUAAGCAUUCCGCCUGGGGAGUACGGUC